Molecule: ribosomal RNA, 253 nt
Filed under: uncultured bacterium
Lineage: Bacteria
Description: partial 16S ribosomal RNA
Rfam family: Bacterial small subunit ribosomal RNA
Source: RNAcentral
UACGUAGGGCGCAAGCGUUAUCCGGAAUUAUUGGGCGUAAAGAGCUCGUAGGCGGUUUGUCGCGUCUGCCGUGAAAGUCCGGGGCUCAACUCCGGAUCUGCGGUGGGUACGGGCAGACUAGAGUGAUGUAGGGGAGACUGGAAUUCCUGGUGUAGCGGUGAAAUGCGCAGAUAUCAGGAGGAACACCGAUGGCGAAGGCAGGUCUCUGGGCAUUAACUGACGCUGAGGCGCGACAGCGUGGGGAUCAAACAGG